GAUGAACGCUGGCGGCGUGCCUAAUACAUGCAAGUCGAGCGAACAGACGAGGAGCUUGCUCCUCUGACGUUAGCGGCGGACGGGUGAGUAACACGUGGAUAACCUACCUAUAAGACUGGGAUAACUUCGGGAAACCGGAGCUAAUACCGGAUAAUAUAUUGAACCGCAUGGUUCAAUAGUGAAAGACGGUUUUGCUGUCACUUAUAGAUGGAUCCGCGCCGCAUUAGCUAGUUGGUAAGGUAACGGCUUACCAAGGCAACGAUGCGUAGCCGACCUGAGAGGGUGAUCGGCCACACUGGAACUGAGACGCGGUCCAGACUCCUACGGGAGGCAGCAGUAGGGAAUCUUCCGCAAUGGGCGAAAGCCUGACGGAGCAACGCCGCGUGAGUGAUGAAGGUCUUCGGAUCGUAAAACUCUGAUAUUAGGGAAGAACAAAUGUGUAAGUAACUAUGCACGUCCUGACGGUACCUAAUCAGAAAGCCACGGCUAACUACGUG
RNAcentral lists this ribosomal RNA (497 nucleotides) under uncultured bacterium. Its description in RNAcentral is "partial 16S ribosomal RNA". It matches the Rfam family "Bacterial small subunit ribosomal RNA", at positions 28 to 507 of the family's 1533-position model. The record is from RNAcentral.